This 2923-nucleotide ribosomal RNA is filed under the name Escherichia coli. Its description in RNAcentral is "23S ribosomal RNA". It matches the Rfam family "Bacterial large subunit ribosomal RNA". Lineage: Bacteria; Pseudomonadati; Pseudomonadota; Gammaproteobacteria; Enterobacterales; Enterobacteriaceae. The record is from RNAcentral.
GGUUAAGUUAGAAAGGGCGCACGGUGGAUGCCUUGGCACUAGAAGCCGAUGAAGGACGUUACUAACGACGAUAUGCUUUGGGGAGCUGUAAGUAAGCUUUGAUCCAGAGAUUUCCGAAUGGGGAAACCCAGCAUGAGUUAUGUCAUGUUAUCGAUAUGUGAAUACAUAGCAUAUCAGAAGGCACACCCGGAGAACUGAAACAUCUUAGUACCCGGAGGAAGAGAAAGAAAAUUCGAUUCCCUUAGUAGCGGCGAGCGAAACGGGAAGAGCCCAAACCAACAAGCUUGCUUGUUGGGGUUGUAGGACACUCUAUACGGAGUUACAAAGGACGACAUUAGACGAAUCAUCUGGAAAGAUGAAUCAAAGAAGGUAAUAAUCCUGUAGUCGAAAAUGUUGUCUCUCUUGAGUGGAUCCUGAGUACGACGGAGCACGUGAAAUUCCGUCGGAAUCUGGGAGGACCAUCUCCUAAGGCUAAAUACUCUCUAGUGACCGAUAGUGAACCAGUACCGUGAGGGAAAGGUGAAAAGCACCCCGGAAGGGGAGUGAAAUAGAACCUGAAACCGUGUGCUUACAAGUAGUCAGAGCCCGUUAAUGGGUGAUGGCGUGCCUUUUGUAGAAUGAACCGGCGAGUUACGAUUUGAUGCAAGGUUAAGCAGUAAAUGUGGAGCCGUAGCGAAAGCGAGUCUGAAUAGGGCGUUUAGUAUUUGGUCGUAGACCCGAAACCAGGUGAUCUACCCUUGGUCAGGUUGAAGUUCAGGUAACACUGAAUGGAGGACCGAACCGACUUACGUUGAAAAGUGAGCGGAUGAACUGAGGGUAGCGGAGAAAUUCCAAUCGAACCUGGAGAUAGCUGGUUCUCUCCGAAAUAGCUUUAGGGCUAGCCUCAAGUGAUGAUUAUUGGAGGUAGAGCACUGUUUGGACGAGGGGCCCCUCUCGGGUUACCGAAUUCAGACAAACUCCGAAUGCCAAUUAAUUUAACUUGGGAGUCAGAACAUGGGUGAUAAGGUCCGUGGUCGAAAGGGAAACAGCCCAGACCACCAGUUAAGGUCCCCAAAUAUAUGUUAAGUGGAAAAGGAUGUGGCGUUGCCCAGACAACUAGGAUGUUGGCUUAGAAGCAGCCAUCAUUUAAAGAGUGCGUAAUAGCUCACUAGUCGAGUGACACUGCGCCGAAAAUGUACCGGGGCUAAACAUAUUACCGAAGCUGUGGAUUGUCCUUUGGACAAUGGUAGGAGAGCGUUCUAAGGGCGUUGAAGCAUGAUCGUAAGGACAUGUGGAGCGCUUAGAAGUGAGAAUGCCGGUGUGAGUAGCGAAAGACGGGUGAGAAUCCCGUCCACCGAUUGACUAAGGUUUCCAGAGGAAGGCUCGUCCGCUCUGGGUUAGUCGGGUCCUAAGCUGAGGCCGACAGGCGUAGGCGAUGGAUAACAGGUUGAUAUUCCUGUACCACCUAUAAUCGUUUUAAUCGAUGGGGGGACGCAGUAGGAUAGGCGAAGCGUGCGAUUGGAUUGCACGUCUAAGCAGUAAGGCUGAGUAUUAGGCAAAUCCGGUACUCGUUAAGGCUGAGCUGUGAUGGGGAGAAGACAUUGUGUCUUCGAGUCGUUGAUUUCACACUGCCGAGAAAAGCCUCUAGAUAGAAAAUAGGUGCCCGUACCGCAAACCGACACAGGUAGUCAAGAUGAGAAUUCUAAGGUGAGCGAGCGAACUCUCGUUAAGGAACUCGGCAAAAUGACCCCGUAACUUCGGGAGAAGGGGUGCUCUUUAGGGUUAACGCCCAGAAGAGCCGCAGUGAAUAGGCCCAAGCGACUGUUUAUCAAAAACACAGGUCUCUGCUAAACCGUAAGGUGAUGUAUAGGGGCUGACGCCUGCCCGGUGCUGGAAGGUUAAGAGGAGUGGUUAGCUUCUGCGAAGCUACGAAUCGAAGCCCCAGUAAACGGCGGCCGUAACUAUAACGGUCCUAAGGUAGCGAAAUUCCUUGUCGGGUAAGUUCCGACCCGCACGAAAGGCGUAACGAUUUGGGCACUGUCUCAACGAGAGACUCGGUGAAAUCAUAGUACCUGUGAAGAUGCAGGUUACCCGCGACAGGACGGAAAGACCCCGUGGAGCUUUACUGUAGCCUGAUAUUGAAAUUCGGCACAGCUUGUACAGGAUAGGUAGGAGCCUUUGAAACGUGAGCGCUAGCUUACGUGGAGGCGCUGGUGGGAUACUACCCUAGCUGUGUUGGCUUUCUAACCCGCACCACUUAUCGUGGUGGGAGACAGUGUCAGGCGGGCAGUUUGACUGGGGCGGUCGCCUCCUAAAAGGUAACGGAGGCGCUCAAAGGUUCCCUCAGAAUGGUUGGAAAUCAUUCAUAGAGUGUAAAGGCAUAAGGGAGCUUGACUGCGAGACCUACAAGUCGAGCAGGGUCGAAAGACGGACUUAGUGAUCCGGUGGUUCCGCAUGGAAGGGCCAUCGCUCAACGGAUAAAAGCUACCCCGGGGAUAACAGGCUUAUCUCCCCCAAGAGUUCACAUCGACGGGGAGGUUUGGCACCUCGAUGUCGGCUCAUCGCAUCCUGGGGCUGUAGUCGGUCCCAAGGGUUGGGCUGUUCGCCCAUUAAAGCGGUACGCGAGCUGGGUUCAGAACGUCGUGAGACAGUUCGGUCCCUAUCCGUCGUGGGCGUAGGAAAUUUGAGAGGAGCUGUCCUUAGUACGAGAGGACCGGGAUGGACAUACCUCUGGUGUACCAGUUGUCGUGCCAACGGCAUAGCUGGGUAGCUAUGUGUGGACGGGAUAAGUGCUGAAAGCAUCUAAGCAUGAAGCCCCCCUCAAGAUGAGAUUUCCCAACUUCGGUUAUAAGAUCCCUCAAAGAUGAUGAGGUUAAUAGGUUCGAGGUGGAAGCAUGGUGACAUGUGGAGCUGACGAAUACUAAUCGAUCGAAGACUUAAUCAA